Long non-coding RNA from Triticum aestivum (bread wheat), 1836 nucleotides. RefSeq lists it as uncharacterized. The record is from RefSeq and is a predicted model, not a curated record. The transcript is spliced from 9 exons. Lineage: Eukaryota; Viridiplantae; Streptophyta; Magnoliopsida; Poales; Poaceae.
CUGAAAUUAUUCCUGCAUUGGAGAUACAUUUUAUAGAGGUGUCAGUUAAUUCAUUUACAGUCCAUUCAUGGUUUCUGUUUUUGCUUGACUACAGAAGGACAGAGAUACUAUAUAAUUCUGUGAAGCUUCCCUUUUCUAACAAGAACUAUUAAUUUCUUCAACAGGCUUGGUAGCUUUCUGUUCUGUCUUGGACUACAGCAUCCCUAAUUUCAGAAUGGCAUAUUACAGUGUGCAUGGAACAGAUGGAUGCUCAAUUUGAAGCCUGAGGUGACACCAGAUGGGCCUCGUUCUUCAACAGAGUGAUACCAAUGAUUAAAGUGGAUGCUUUCUCCUGCUACAGAAGAUAUGUUCCGCCAGCAGGCAAUGCAAAAGUAUGUAUUAAGUGGCAGAUAUGUUCUCAGAAGUUCUGCCGCCACUUGUUGGCAUUGAUUUGAAAAUUUUCAGAGAUUGUGAUUGAGAUUGUUGGCAUCUGGUGUCACCUUACUCACGCCUAUCAGGAGCAGCGAUCUUUAAGAUUGUACGAUUCUCCAGAUAUUCUGAAGAUCAGAAUGGUAUCCAGUUCUGCUAUUGUGACUCCAGUCUGCAGUGAUCGUCCUUCAGGUGUUCCUUUCAGUUUGCUCCAUGUCGACAAACACCUACACAGAGGAUUCCUGUUGGUGUUUGCACCUUCCCAUGUGCACAUAUCCGGGCUCCUGCUCGCGCUUACAAAGCCAAGAAAGAUCCUCAGCCAGACGCUAUUUGAUAGGACUAAAGACAAGCUCCCUGCUUGGUAGCUUUCUGUUCUGUCCUGGGCUACAGCACCCUUACUUUCAGAAUGGUGUAUUACACUUAGAAUGAACUGGAAGCAGACCUUUCACUUUGUGAAAAAAACAUGGAACAUGCGACGACAGCAAAUACGACCAACUCUCAGUUUCUACCAUGGCUGCCAGGCGUUGCUAUUAUCCUUCUGUGUUUUGUCAUGUGCACAUCUAAAGCAGCAAAAUUCGCCCUCAACCUCAAGCCCCAGAUUAUAGAAUACAUGUAGUAGAGCAGCUAUAUUAGCUAAUGGUGUAGAUCUUCUACAUGGUGCUACAAAUGAUUAAAGCGGAUGGUUCCUGAAACUAUGGGGGUCCAGUCCUGCCACAGAAUAUAUGUUCCACCAGCAGGCAACAUCCACUACAGAAGUUCAGAGAAAUCAAUCAUUAAAUCAAGUGCCUCUGCAAGGAGCGGCUGUCCCUAAGAUUGUGCGAUUCUCCAGACAUUCUGAAGAUCAGAACGGUAUCCAGUUCUGCUUUUGUGACUCCAGUCUGCAGGUGUUCCUUCAGUUUGCUCCCUGUCAGACAAACACCUACACAGAGGGGUUCAGAGGAUGAUUCGAAGGCUUACCAUGACUGUUAUCGACAGUCGGUGGCACAGUCCACGCUCAAUGUUGUCUUGUUCGCCACCGAUCCAGUUGAGCACAGACAGUCAGGAUGAUCUACUGUCAGCUGCACCGCUGCAGCCCUCGCUGUAAGAGCUUCCUCAGCCAUCUCGACCAGUUGAUGGUGAUGCAUUCAGCAGAGCACAGAGGUGUAGAUAAAAAUCCCCAAGGGCGCAAUGUUGACGAUGUGUUGAUGUUCCCCCAGUUAUUUCUAGUCAAAUUCGGUUGCGCCUUGUUUCAUAUUCAACACUUAAUGAAGAAUGUAAUGAGUGAAUGGGUGGGAGAAAUUGUAAGGCUCGCUCAUUUGAUUGUUGUACUCUACUAUAAGAGGGCAGGCCUCAAUCUGAUGUCCCCAGUCCCUAGACAGCUAGGCCUUCUUAAAAUUGCAAAUUGAGCAGAUAUACAGGGGUCUCUUAUGUUUUGUGCCAAAUCUCUUU